GUCCUUUUGAUUUUGAUUUAAGGUCUGGCCUGCCCAAUGAUUAAUUAAAUGGCCGCAGUAUUUUGACUGUGCAAAGGUAGCAUAAUCAUUAGUUUCUUAAUUGGGAACUGGAAUGAAUGGUCGGAUGAGGGAGUUACUGUCUCAUGCUUAAUUUUUUAGAAUUUUAUUUUUGAGUUAAAAAGCUCAAAUUUUUGUUAAAGACGAGAAGACCCUAUAGAGUUUUAUAUUAUAGUAUUUAUUAUUUUUUGGUAUUUUUAGGUUUUAAUUUUUUAUAGUAUUUUGUUGGGGUGACAGAAAAAUUAAUUUAACUUUUUUUUAUUAUUAACAUUGAUUUAUGGUUAUUUGAUCCAAACUUUUUGAUUAUAAGAUUAAAUUACCUUAGGGAUAACAGCGUAAUCUUUUUGGAGAGUUCUUAUCGAUAGGGGGGGUUGCGACCUCGAUGUUGGAUUAAAAUUUAAUUCUGGUGCAGAAGCUAGGGGUUUAGGUCUGUUCGACCUUUAAAAUUUUACGUGAUC
This 515-nucleotide ribosomal RNA is filed under the name Hemiosus selva. Its description in RNAcentral is "partial 16S ribosomal RNA". It matches the Rfam family "Bacterial large subunit ribosomal RNA", at positions 1819 to 2605 of the family's 2925-position model. Lineage: Eukaryota; Metazoa; Arthropoda; Insecta; Coleoptera; Hydrophilidae. The record is from RNAcentral.